AUGUUUCGAUCUAAGCAGUGCGUCUUCCUUGGCUACAGUGCUCAGCACAAAGGGGUCAAGUGCCUAGAUGUCUCCAUAGAGCGAGUUUACAUCUCCCAUGAUGUAGUUUUUGAUGAAACUAAAUUUCCAUUCACUGACCUUCACCCCAACGCUGGUGCACUUCUUCGAGAAGAAAUUCUUCUCCUGCCUCCUCAUCUCACUAGUUUUGAUCAAGGGCAACAAAAUAUUGAUGAUCAUUUGUUGACUAACUCAUCUAAUGGCAUGCAUGAGCUUUGUGUUGAUGAAACAGGAGAAAACUGCGAAGAAAAUACUCAAAACAGUGAAAAACUUGGGUUAUAUCCCAUGUGCCCCACGACGGGAGACAACGCGGUAGGAGACAGAUCCUCCUCGGGAUCCGCAGCGUCGCGGGCGAUCAGAUCAUCCUCGGGAUCUGGCGGCGCAGAGGAGACACGCGCAGGCGCGCCGGAUUCACACGUCUCCGCGCCCGACACGCGGGCCGCGCUAGACAUGCGGGUCCCUCUAGGCGGGACGCGGUACGGCGCUUGUCCCGUCACGUACAAGCGGCGUGACCCCGCGCGGUCCAGCGAGGACGCGGAUCCAGGGGCUGGUCCCACUAUUGUCGACCAGCCGACCGGCGCGCGGACCCGAGCCACAGGGCCAUCAUUGCGCAAUGAUGGGCGGCUGCAUGGCUCGGGAUGA
This 699-nucleotide ribosomal RNA is filed under the name Triticum aestivum (bread wheat). Its description in RNAcentral is "partial small subunit ribosomal RNA". The record is from RNAcentral. Lineage: Eukaryota; Viridiplantae; Streptophyta; Magnoliopsida; Poales; Poaceae.